Pelobates cultripes (western spadefoot toad) is the source of this 1201-nucleotide non-coding RNA. NCBI's taxonomy places the organism in Eukaryota, Metazoa, Chordata, Amphibia, Anura, Pelobatidae. The record is from the annotation of a GenBank genome assembly.
CUUUAUUUUUGUUGUGCAUACGUUAACAAGCAGCUUGCAAUGCCACGACGGCAAGGAAGGCACAAUAUCAACAGAUUCUAACAUAGGUAUGGCAUUGAGAUUGCAGCCCAAUUUUUAAAUGUAAUAAGAGUUACUAAAAUGCGUAGAGACAGAAAACUUGGCAUAGUAUAUGCAUUAAAAUCUAUGUGUCAGGUGAGUUAGAAAAGCAAGCAGUGUCUAAACCUGACUCAUACUGUUGGGCAAUGCCUUAUUUUCUUUUGAUAGAUAAAAUACAAAAGUAAGCUAGACACAUAGACAAGGUCCGUUGAGAACAAAUAACUAUUGACCCGCCACCCUGACCAGACAUUCUAGGAACAUAGUGAGGUUAACUUAAAUGCUAAGACUUAGGGUUUCAACAAGAAAAUAAUAUUUAGUUGCCCAUCAUACACAAGUAGCCCAUCGGCAUCCGCCAUUACGGUACUGGGGCAUUACUCUGGUGUGGAUAUCGAAGCCCUGCUCAACCUAUCACUUUGCAGUCCAUUGGGUCCACGUAUUCUUCUGCUCUUGAGCGCCGAGAUAGGCGCCCCCUCCAUUUCCAGGCCUGAGUGAGGGUCCGCAUCUUGGAUCUAUAAACUCGAGACCGCCUUGGAGCCAAGUUUUUCCCGUGGUAGGGUGGCUGGAGGAGCUUGAUGUUAAGUGCCUGCUCUUGCUGGAGGUUUCCGGCCGGUAUGGUCGUCGUUUGAAGGUUGUACCUCGGGAGACUCUCAGCCUGUGAUGGCGGAUUGUCACUGGAGUGUGAGUAGGAGUCUUUGCCCACAGUUUAUUUCCCCUUCUUCAGCAUGGCAUUGCUCCUGUCCACUGUUAUGUGCUUCUGUUGUGGCUGCUGUAUUUGAGCCUGCAGUUUGUCUUAGAAGGCAUUUAAGAUAUCAUCUAGGUGCAGCAUGCCUUGCUCAAUGUAGCUGUGAGACGUUGGCUGCAUAGGGCCCAGGCCUUGCAUGUUGCAGAGGAGCCUGUCGUCAAUUUGGGCAGUGAGAGUUGCGGCGGUGCUUCUCAGUGCUUAAGCCAGGUGCCAGGGUAGUGUGAUUCCAAAUGUGUUGUGAUCAGCGGGGACCUGGAUAACCGGUUUGAUUAGUCGCGGUGAGCAGUUUUUUUUGUGAUUUUUGCUGUAUCGUGUGAGAAGCUCACCAACCAUGCUUCCACUCAGUAUGGCGGUCAGGCCCCG